This 406-nucleotide unclassified non-coding RNA is filed under the name Hevea brasiliensis (rubber tree). Lineage: Eukaryota; Viridiplantae; Streptophyta; Magnoliopsida; Malpighiales; Euphorbiaceae. The record is from RNAcentral.
GAAAUCCAUUCCAUAAAUACCAGUGGAGGGAUCAUACUUAAUCCCGAGAUCAAUAUGCUCCUGGAUUCCAAACCCAAAGCAACCAGUAUCACUGAAGUUCCUCCUCAGCAACUCAUACUCCUUCACCUUCAACCCACUCUCCAGUAGCUGCAUCGCCUUCUCACCUCUCACAGUAACAUAGCAAGCAAUCUUCUCAUUCCUCCGGAUCCCAAAAGACCGCACAGUGUACCUCGCCUUCGAGAACACCGGCGUCUGUCCACUCAGCUGCUCCAAAACCUUAGAGGCCCUGGUGAGGCGAUCGCCGCUCUCGCCAACGGAGAUGUUGAGGACGAGCUUCUGGACCUUUAUCUCCCGCAUCGGAUUGGACAGCUUCUUCUCCGAGGCCAUGGCGAUCAGAGAGUUCACG